UCAGAACGAACGCUGGCGGCAGGCCUAACACAUGCAAGUCGAGCGGGGACUUCGGUCCUAGCGGCGGACGGGUGAGUAACGCGUGGGAACGUGCCCUUUGCUUCGGAAUAGCCCCUGGAAACGGGGAGUAAUACCGGAUGUGCCCUUUGGGGGAAAGAUUUAUCGGCAAAGGAUCGGCCCGCGUUGGAUUAGGUAGUUGGUGGGGUAAUGGCCUACCAAGCCGACGAUCCAUAGCUGGUUUGAGAGGAUGAUCAGCCACACUGGGACUGAGACACGGCCCAGACUCCUACGGGAGGCAGCAGUGGGGAAUCUUAGACAAUGGGCGCAAGCCUGAUCUAGCCAUGCCGCGUGAGCGAUGAAGGCCUUAGGGUUGUAAAGCUCUUUCGUGGGGGAAGAUAAUGACGGUACCCCAAGAAGAAGCCCCGGCUAACUCCGUG
This 437-nucleotide ribosomal RNA is filed under the name uncultured bacterium. RNAcentral describes it as "bacterial SSU rRNA". It matches the Rfam family "Bacterial small subunit ribosomal RNA", at positions 24 to 507 of the family's 1533-position model. The record is from RNAcentral.